GAUGAAGAACGCAGCGAAAUGCGAUAAGUAAUGUGAAUUGCAGAAUUCAGUGAAUCAUCGAAUCUUUGAACGCACAUUGCGCCCGCCAGUAUUCUGGCGGGCAUGCCUGUCUGAGCGUCAUUUCAACCCUCAUGCCCCUAGGGCGUGGUGUUGGGGAUCGGCCAAAGCCCGCGAGGGACGGCCGGCCCCUAAAUCUAGUGGCGGUCCCGCUGCAGCCUCCUCUGCGUAGUAGUUUUCUCCUCGCAAGGGCAGCUCGGUGGCGACCUCGCCGUAAAACCCCCAACUUCUGAAAGGUUGACCUCGAAUCAGGUAGGAAUACCCGCUGAACUUAAGCAUAUCAAUAAGCGGAGGA
RNAcentral lists this unclassified non-coding RNA (352 nucleotides) under soil metagenome. RNAcentral describes it as "partial contains 5.8S ribosomal RNA, internal transcribed spacer 2, and large subunit ribosomal RNA". The stretch from base 1 to 120 matches the Rfam family "5.8S ribosomal RNA", at positions 35 to 154 of the family's 154-position model. The record is from RNAcentral.